AGAGAGAGACAUGCGCGCAUAUCAAUAAGCGGAGGAAAAGAAACUAACAAGGAUUCCCUUAGUAACGGCGAGUGAAGCGGGAAGAGCUCAAAUUUGAAAUCUUCAAGGUUUUACCUUGACGAAUUGUAGUUUAAAGAAGUGUUUUCUGCUGAAGUUUUGGUAAAAGUUCUUUGGAAUAGGACAUCAUAGAGGGUGAGAAUCCCGUAUUUGACCAUUAUUUUCAGCUUUGUGAUACACUUUCAAAGAGUCGGAUUGUUUGGGAAUGCAGUCCAAAAUGGGUGGUAAAUUUCAUCUAAAGCUAAAUAUUGGCGAGAGACCGAUAGCGAACAAGUACCGUGAGGGAAAGAUGAAAAGAAACUUUGAAAAGAGAGUUAAACAGUACGUGAAAUUGUCAAAAGGGAAGCGUUUGACACCAGUGUUGUUUUCUCGAAAAUCAAUUAAAAAUGGCUCGAUUUUGUAUUGUUGAGACCUUAAAAGCUCACUGUACAUUUUUCGUGUCUUUUUUAAUGCACUUUUCGUUUAACAAGUCAACAUCAGUUUCUUUUGUUGUAAAAGGGUCAUUGGAAGGUGGCUUUCUUUUCGGAGAAAGUGUUUAUAGCCUUUGGCCUCUGCAAUCGAAGAGACUGAGGUCUGCAGCGUAGACUCUUCGGGGUUAGAUACAUUUGUGCUAGGUUAUAGCUUUUUAUAGACAACUUGUUGACUAUAAUUAGUCUUGUAGCUUACUCGCUUAUGCUAUUUUACCUACGCUUAGGAUGUUGAGUCGUAGAGCACGCAG
This 775-nucleotide ribosomal RNA is filed under the name uncultured Neocallimastigales. RNAcentral describes it as "partial large subunit ribosomal RNA". It matches the Rfam family "Eukaryotic large subunit ribosomal RNA", at positions 23 to 634 of the family's 3401-position model. Lineage: Eukaryota; Fungi; Neocallimastigomycota; Neocallimastigomycetes; Neocallimastigales. The record is from RNAcentral.